RNAcentral lists this ribosomal RNA (253 nucleotides) under uncultured bacterium. Its description in RNAcentral is "partial 16S ribosomal RNA". It matches the Rfam family "Bacterial small subunit ribosomal RNA", at positions 524 to 776 of the family's 1533-position model. The record is from RNAcentral.
UACAGAGGGUGCAAGCGUUAAUCGGAAUCACUGGGCUUAAAGCGUUCGUAGGCGGGCUUGCAGGCGCGUUGUGAAAGCCCCCGGCUCAACCGGGGAACUGCUUCGCGAACCGCAAGUCUUGAGUCAAGUAGGGGCGGUCGGAACGAUAGGUGGAGCGGUGAAAUGCGUAGAUAUCUAUCGGAACGCCAAAGGUGAAGACAGGCCGCUGGGCUUGUACGGACGCUGAGGAACGAAAGCGUGGGGAGCAAACGGG